Molecule: ribosomal RNA, 120 nt
Organism: Bison bison bison
Lineage: Eukaryota; Metazoa; Chordata; Mammalia; Artiodactyla; Bovidae
Source: Ensembl
GACUCAGGCCGGAUCAUUCUGAAGGCGCCCGAUCUCGUCUGAUCUCGGAAGCUAAGCAGGGUCGGGCCUGGUUAGUAUCUUGGAUGGGAGACCACCUGGGAAUCCCGGGUGCUCGAGGUC